GACUCCGCAAGUAGUGGCGAGCGAACGCGGACCAGGCCAGUGGUCACGAGGAGAUAACCGGAACCGUCUGGAAAGUCGGGCCGUAGCGGGUGACAGCCCCGUACGGGUAAUGCUCUUCGUGAUCCUCGAGUAGGGCGGGACACGUGAAAUCCUGUCUGAACGUGGGGGGACCACCCUCCAAGCCUAAGUACUCCUCAGUGACCGAUAGUGCACCAGUACCGUGAGGGAAAGGUGAAAAGCACCCCGACGAGGGGAGUGAAACAGACCUGAAACCGGAUGCCUACAAGCAGUCGGAGCGGCCCUGUGCCGUGACGGCGUACCUUUUGUAUAAUGGGUCAGCGACUUAAAGUAUGCAGCGAGCUUAAGCCGGUAGGUGGAGGCGCAGCGAAAGCGAGUCUGAACAGGGCGCUUGAGUUGCAUGCUUUAGACCCGAAACCUGAUGAUCUAGCCAUGGGCAGGUUGAAGGUGCGGUAACACGCACUGGAGGACCGAACUCACGCCUGUUGAAAAAGUCGGAGAUGACCUGUGGCUAGGGG
Molecule: non-coding RNA, 536 nt
Filed under: Skermanella aerolata KACC 11604
Lineage: Bacteria; Pseudomonadati; Pseudomonadota; Alphaproteobacteria; Rhodospirillales; Azospirillaceae
Description: bacterial LSU rRNA
Rfam family: Bacterial large subunit ribosomal RNA
Source: RNAcentral